This 1825-nucleotide long non-coding RNA is filed under the name Homo sapiens (human). Its description in RNAcentral is "non-protein coding lnc-C3orf58-4:1". Lineage: Eukaryota; Metazoa; Chordata; Mammalia; Primates; Hominidae. The record is from RNAcentral.
GCUAGGCUGAUUCCAUAUCUUGGCUAUUUGGAAUAGUGCUGCCAUAAACAUGGGAUGCAGGUGUCUCUUCAAUACACUGAUUCCUUUCAUUUGGAUAAAUGCCCAGUACUGGGAUUGCUGGAUCACAUGAUAGUUCUAUUUGUAGGUUUUUUUUUUUUUUUUUUUGAGGAACUCCCAUACUGUUUUCCAUAACAGCUGUACUAAGUUACAUUCCCACCCACAAUAAUGCUGAAGACAUCCCCAGAAGUAGGUAGAAAACUUAUAUUACCAAUUAAAUCCAAUAGAGAGAAAAUAUAAGGUUCAUAGAGAAUAAAUUACUUAGCUAAGAUUAUGCAGAUUAAAUGGCAACACUGAAAUUUCCUUCAUGAAUGUCUCUGAUACUAGUUGUCGUGCUUUACCAAGAAUUAAAUGAUUUAGCUCAAGAUUAACUACAUGAAUUAGUUUCCUGCUGAUGUUGUAACAAGUGACCACAAACUGAGCGGUGUAAAAUAACAGCAGUGUAUUAUCUUAGUGUAUAAAGAUGAAUAUAAUUUUGAACAUGAAAUGUUUCUACAUUUCUUCUGAUUUUAAAACAAAACAUUUUCGUGGACCCCACGAUGUUUUGUGGGCUACAGGGACUGCACAUGCUCUGCAUGGGUAAGUUGGCCUUACAUAAAGGAUAAUUUAGUAACCAUGAUCCAAGCUAAUUGGUUAUGCAGUAUGCAUUGCCGAAUGACUCUAACUUCUGGGAGAUUCGGGCAUUUUUAAGAAAUAGAAAAAAAAAGAUAAAAGAUAAAAACCAAAGUACUAGCCUUUACUACGAGUAAUUUGUAAAACAUGUGAAACUUGCUGCCUCUAAGUGCGAUCCAUAAACCUAAUACUUAUAAAAAUAAAUAUAGUAAUAUGCUUUAAACUGACAUAUCCCUUUUAUAAACCUGAAUCACUAAUGGUUAAAAGAAGUUCCAAAUGCAUUUCAAAAAUAGUGAAAAUAGUCUGUAGUAACCACUCUUAGAUUUAUAGGACAGCUUGUCUAAAUCAUUUCAAGUUGGUGUGUUUCCAACUAUGUUCUUUUAUUAUCACUUUAGUCUCAUUUACGUUUUAGAGACCUACUACUGAUGAUCCUUGGUAAUUAUGUACAAUUGAUGAGAAAGAUAUGCAAGCAGUCAGUCAUUCAGGUCAGAGAUAUAAAAACCUCACUUCCAAAACAUCACUGUGGGCUUCCUCUUUAUUUCACCUUUGUGUUUCUUCUGCCUUUCAUUUCUUACAGCAGUUAAUACCACUGUUGAAACUAGCAUUUUAAAUAUAGAUGACCCUGGAAUUAUGAGAGCACUAGCAUGUGCAGUUUAUGAAUGCCAAUGGCACUGCAUCCGAGCUGCCUGCCGGCCCCUAUUUCUUGUGGAUGCCUCAGCAGAUCCAGUGCAGGUACUGAGGGGCGGACUGCCAGCAGUAGUGAGUCAGCUGGCUGGGUGUGCGAUUGCACUUAGUGCAGGUAUGGUUUUUGAUACUGCUCUUCACUUCUGUACUUUCUUCAGUUUUUAAAAUAAAAUUCCUCUACUUCAUGUCUUAGAAAAGGAGAUAUGAUGCACUGAAUGGCAAAUCACACAAAAGUGAAGAAAAAGCUCACUUCAGAUACAAAGGCUGGAAUAAAGCUGAAUGAACUAAAUUCCAAGUUAAAAUUGUCUCCUUUGGGUCUGAGUAUAAUUUGUUAGAACAAGGGAAAAUGUUUGAAGAAAAAAAUGUUAAAUCAAUUCAAUCAAUGGUGGCAUGAAAAAGCAUUGGCUGAAUGAUGAGGUGGGAACACGUGCAACUCUGUGAAUGCCUGCUCAGAGAAUACAUAUGCUGAUAA